AUUGAACGCUAGCGGCAUGCUUAACACAUGCAAGUCGAGCGGCAGCGCGGGGAAACCUGGCGGCGAGCGGCGGACGGGUGAGUAAUACGUAGGAAUCUGCCUUGUAAUGGGGGACAACCCGGGGAAACUCGGGCUAAUACCGCAUAAUCUCUAAGGAGGAAAGUAGGGGACCUUCGGGCCUUACGUUAUAAGAUGAGCCUGCGUCGGAUUAGCUAGUUGGUGGGGUAAAGGCCUACCAAGGCGACGAUCCGUAGCUGGUCUGAGAGGACGAUCAGCCAGACUGGGACUGAGACACGGCCCAGACUCCUACGGGAGGCAGCAGUGGGGAAUAUUGGACAAUGGGGGAAACCCUGAUCCAGCAAUGCCGCGUGUGUGAAGAAGGCCUUCGGGUUGUAAAGCACUUUCAGUGGGGAAGAACUAAUUCAAGGUUAAUAACCUUGAGUCUUGACAUUACCUACAGAAGAAGCACCGGCAAACUCUGUGCCAGCCGCCGCCGUAA
Molecule: ribosomal RNA, 499 nt
Filed under: uncultured bacterium
Lineage: Bacteria
Description: partial 16S ribosomal RNA
Rfam family: Bacterial small subunit ribosomal RNA
Source: RNAcentral